GACGAACGCUGGCGGCGUGCUUAACACAUGCAAGUCGAACGGACAGGCCCUGCUUUUGUGGGGUGCUCGAGUGGCGAACGGGUGAGUAACACGUGAGUAACCUGCCCUUGACUUUGGGAUAACUUCAGGAAACUGGGGCUAAUACCGGAUAGGAGCUACUGCUGCAUGGUGGGGGUUGGAAAGUUUCGGCGGUUGGGGAUGGACUCGCGGCUUAUCAGCUUGUUGGUGGGGUAGUGGCGUACCAAGGCUUUGACGGGUAGCCGGCCUGAGAGGGUGACCGGCCACAAUGGGACUGAGAUACGGCCCAGUCUCCUACGGGAGGCAGCAGUGGGGAAUAUGGCAGAAUGGGCGGAAGCCUGAGGCAGCAACGCCGCGUGCGGGAUGACGGCCUUCGGGUUGUAAACCGCUUUCGCCUGUGACGAAGCGGGAGUGACGGUAAUGGGUAAAGAAGCACCGGCUAACUACGUG
RNAcentral lists this ribosomal RNA (468 nucleotides) under uncultured bacterium. Its description in RNAcentral is "partial 16S ribosomal RNA". It matches the Rfam family "Bacterial small subunit ribosomal RNA", at positions 28 to 507 of the family's 1533-position model. The record is from RNAcentral.